GACGAACGCUGGCGGCGUGCUUAACACAUGCAAGUCGAACGGAAAGGCCCUGCUUUUGUGGGGUGCUCGAGUGGCGAACGGGUGAGUAACAAGUGAGUAACCUGCCCUUGACUUUGGGAUAACUUCAGGAAACUGGGGCUAAUACCGGAUAGGAGCUCCUGCUGCAUGGUGGGGGUUGGAAAGUUUCGGCGGUUGGGGAUGGACUCGCGGCUUAUCAGCUUGUUGGUGGGGUAGUGGCUUACCAAGGCUUUGACGGGUAGCCGGCCUGAGAGGGUGUCCGGCCACAUUGGGACUGAGAUACGGCACAGACGCCUACGGGAGGCAGCAGUGGGGAAUAUUGCACAAUGGGCGGAAGCCGGAUGCAGCAACGCCGCGUGCGGGAUGACGGCCUUCGGGUUGUAAUCCGCUUUCGCCUGUGACGAAGCGUGAGUGACGGUAAUGGGUAAAGAAGCACCGGCUAACUACGUG
RNAcentral lists this ribosomal RNA (468 nucleotides) under uncultured bacterium. RNAcentral describes it as "partial 16S ribosomal RNA". It matches the Rfam family "Bacterial small subunit ribosomal RNA", at positions 28 to 507 of the family's 1533-position model. The record is from RNAcentral.